This 74-nucleotide transfer RNA is filed under the name Candidatus Burarchaeum australiense. RNAcentral describes it as "tRNA-Pro(cgg)". It matches the Rfam family "tRNA". From Rfam's summary of the family: Transfer RNA (tRNA) molecules are approximately 80 nucleotides in length. Lineage: Archaea; Nanobdellati; Microcaldota; Candidatus Micrarchaeia; Candidatus Burarchaeales; Candidatus Burarchaeaceae. The record is from RNAcentral.
GGGGCCGUGGGCUAGCCUGGUAUGCUACUAGGUUCGGGACCUAGAGACCUGAGUUCAAAUCUCGGCGGCCCCAC